UACGAAGGGUGCAAGCGUUAUUCGGAGUUACUGGGCGUAAAGAGCGCGUAGGCGGCUUUUUAAGUCAUUUGUUAAAUCUCCCGGCUUAACCGGGAACGUGCAAGUGAUACUGAAAAGCUAGAGUAUAAGAGAGAGAAGCGGAAUUCUCGGAGUAGCGGUAAAAUGCGUAGAUCGCGAGAGGAACAGCGGAGGCGAAGGCGGCUUCUGGGCUUAUAACUGACGCUCAAGUGCGAAAGCGUGGGGAGCAAUCAGG
RNAcentral lists this ribosomal RNA (253 nucleotides) under uncultured bacterium. Its description in RNAcentral is "partial 16S ribosomal RNA". It matches the Rfam family "Bacterial small subunit ribosomal RNA", at positions 524 to 776 of the family's 1533-position model. The record is from RNAcentral.